CUUCGUGCAUGUGGUUGUACACACCGCUACCGGCAACUCCUGCGUCCCACAUCUCAUAAUUUUGCUACAAGAAGAAAAGAAAGAAAAAAAAAAAAAACCACUUGACUAAAAUUGCCCACCUCCUCGCCCCCAGCCUGACACCAGUUGGAAAGUCCCAGGGAAAGCCUACGUGGACUCAGGUGGGGUGAGGGGCCCCAGGUGGGGGCACAUCCUCUGUCAUCCAGUCCCUGCUGGAAGCAGAAGGCUGCAGUAAGAAACAGUCUCCCCCAGGAAGAGGGGGGGGUCCCCAGAAAUGAGGAGGGCUCGGAAGCAGUCAGAGCGAUACGUGCUCACACCGAAGCAAAGGGGGUCAUUGUUCUUCUUGCGUCACUCCCCGGCAAGGAGGACUCAAGGCUAAGGGGGAAGCUCGUGGUGAAACCCACGUGUGGCCGACGUGGGGAACACAGUCCAGAACAGGUUGAAAGGCGUCUCUGCGUUGAAAGUGCUCGGCAAUAAAAGGCAGACUCUUUAAUGACUGAGCAACAAGGGAAGAUCUACAAGCAUGUGCUGGCUCUUCCUAAAAGGUGCUCCACCCAGCUGGGGCUGCCGGAAGCGCACAGGAGUGGACAGAGACAAGGAAACAGAAGCAGGGCCUGACCACAGAGAAUGCCCAGGAUCAGUUUAUUGACUUCCAAGGACUAUUAACCUUCUGGAGAAGGAAAAAAAAACCCUUUCUUGUAUCUAGGACCUGCUGGGUGCUAAUUUAAUGUGGCAAUGAGAUAAAAGUCCACUCAGACUGCUGUCAACCUCACUGGAUCGGAAUGCCGUCUACUUAGCAUAGAAGUCAAACAAUUCCCUGGCAAUAGAUUGCCUUCCACUUGUAGGUCUACUAAAUAAAUAGAAAAGUAAUUAACAGUGGGUGAUGGCAGAUAUAUCAGAGGGGAUUUCAUUACAGCAGAAGAACAGAGGGAACCAGGAAGUCACUUUGUGUCCCAGCGUCCGAUGGGGCUCUCAUGCUCCGUCUCUGCAAGGAAAGAAAUUUCAGAAUUUCCUAUCUUCAAUUUAAUCAACAGGGAAGAGAAAAAUCUGAAGUGCCUGAAAUUAGCCCCCAAAUAAAUAAUUCUCCUUAUUGUUCCAUUUAAUUAUUUUGGUCCUGGAACUUGUGGAUGAUGGUACAUUUUUUGUUGUAUUUUUGCUUUUCUUCCUUCCUUUCUUUUUUUGGGGGG
Cervus elaphus (red deer) is the source of this 1205-nucleotide long non-coding RNA. RefSeq lists it as uncharacterized. The transcript has 3 exons. NCBI's taxonomy places the organism in Eukaryota, Metazoa, Chordata, Mammalia, Artiodactyla, Cervidae. The record is from RefSeq and is a predicted model, not a curated record.